AUGCUUCGGGUCCUCACCUCCUUCCUGGGAAUACAAUUUUUCCUGGCUGUCCAAACACAGUCAGUUACCCAGUCUGAUGCCCAAGUCACUGUCUUCGAAGGAGAUUCGGUGGAGCUGAAAUGCAACUACUCCUAUGGUGGAGCCCUUUACCUCUUCUGGUACAUCCAGCACCGUGGCCGCGGCCCCCAGCUUCUCCUCAGGUACUACUCAGGAGACCCAGUGGUUCACGGCGUGAACGGCUUUGAGGCUGAGUUUAGCAAGAAGGACUCUUCCUUCAACCUGAGGAAAGCCCCUGUGUACUGGAGCGACUCGGCUGUGUACUUCUGUGCUCUCAGCGCACAGUGUCUGGGGCUGCAGGGGGAGCUGAACACAAACCUAAGAAUCUGGGGAAGAUACCACAGCUGA
This is a non-coding RNA of Meriones unguiculatus (Mongolian gerbil), 405 nucleotides long. The record is from the annotation of a RefSeq genome assembly. Lineage: Eukaryota; Metazoa; Chordata; Mammalia; Rodentia; Muridae.